RNAcentral lists this ribosomal RNA (467 nucleotides) under uncultured bacterium. RNAcentral describes it as "partial 16S ribosomal RNA". It matches the Rfam family "Bacterial small subunit ribosomal RNA", at positions 28 to 506 of the family's 1533-position model. The record is from RNAcentral.
GACGAACGCUGGCGGCGUGCUUAACACAUGCAAGUCGAACGGAAAGGCCCUGCUUUUGUGGGGUGCUCGAGUGGCGAACGGGUGAGUAACACGUGAGUAACCUGCCCUUGACUUUGGGAUAACUUCAGGAAACUGGGGCUAAUACCGGAUAGGAGCUCCUGCUGCAUGGUGGGGGUUGGAAAGUUUCGGCGGUUGGGGAUGGACUCGCGGCUUAUCAGCUUGUUGGUGGGGUAGUGGCUUACCAAGGCUUUGACGGGUAGCCGGCCUGAGAGGGUGACCGGCCACAUUGGGACUGAGAUACGGCCCAGACUCCUACGUGAGGCAGCAGUGGGGAAUAUUGCACAAUGGGCGGAGGCCUGAUGCAGCAACGCCGCGUGCGGGAUGACGGCCUUCGGGUUGUAAACCGCUUUCGCCUGUGACGAAGCGUGAGUGACGGUAAUGGGUAAAGAAGCACCGGCUAACUACGU